Molecule: ribosomal RNA, 329 nt
Filed under: Alteromonas sp.
Lineage: Bacteria; Pseudomonadati; Pseudomonadota; Gammaproteobacteria; Alteromonadales; Alteromonadaceae
Description: bacterial SSU rRNA
Rfam family: Bacterial small subunit ribosomal RNA
Source: RNAcentral
GCGGACGGGUGANUAAUGCUUGGGAACUUGCCUUUGCGAGGGGGAUAACAGUUGGAAACGACUGCUAAUACCGCAUAAUGUCUUCGGACCAAACGGGGCUUCNGCUCCGGCGCAAAGAGAGGCCCAAGUGAGAUUAGCUAGUUGGUAAGGUAACGGCUUACCAAGGCGACGAUCUCUAGCUGUUCUGAGAGGAAGAUCAGCCACACUGGGACUGAGACACGGCCCAGACUCCUACGGGAGGCAGCAGUGGGGAAUAUUGCACAAUGGGGGAAACCCUGAUGCAGCCAUGCCGCGUGUGUGAAGAAGGCCUUCGGGUUGUAAAGCACUUU